Long non-coding RNA from Eptesicus fuscus (big brown bat), 481 nucleotides. RefSeq lists it as uncharacterized. NCBI's taxonomy places the organism in Eukaryota, Metazoa, Chordata, Mammalia, Chiroptera, Vespertilionidae. The transcript is spliced from 5 exons. The record is from RefSeq and is a predicted model, not a curated record.
CCUAUUCGCACCAUCGUGCCAUUUGCCUCCAUCAGCACCUGGUUCUCAGCACUGGUGUAUAUGCUCAUUAUCCACAGCCACUCCCACCCAGGCCUUCUGGCCAUAAAAGGUGAAAAGCUUUCUGGCAGUGACUUUCUCUCUCUCAGAAGGACCAAGAGCCAGGAAAGUUCCUGGUUGGGGUGACCAAGAUAUGGUCACUACAGAACAGAUGAUUAGAACAGAUAUCAGUCAGUUCACCAGUUUUUUCUAUUCUGUGGGUGGUGAGAGCAAGUCAGGAAGACGUGUGUACAAUGAGAAAAUAAUCAACAGGCACUUUCUGUGGAGACUUGGGGAGAGGACCUGUAAUAAGUGGGAAGAUGACUAUUCCACUGGAAUUGAUGGUUUUGAUAUUAGAGCUGUUGCCUGGGAGGUCCAUUAACACUGCCUGCUCCUGCGUGCCACAGGAGCCGAUGAUGGGAGUCCGGGCAGAGUCCCAUUCGCU